RNAcentral lists this ribosomal RNA (588 nucleotides) under Trichoderma atroviride. Its description in RNAcentral is "eukaryotic LSU rRNA". The stretch from base 212 to 365 matches the Rfam family "5.8S ribosomal RNA". The record is from RNAcentral. Lineage: Eukaryota; Fungi; Ascomycota; Sordariomycetes; Hypocreales; Hypocreaceae.
CGUUGGUGACCAGCGGAGGGAUCAUUACCGAGUUUACAACUCCCAAACCCAAUGUGAACCAUACCAAACUGUUGCCUCGGCGGGGUCACGCCCCGGGUGCGUCGCAGCCCCGGAACCAGGCGCCCGCCGGAGGGACCAACCAAACUCUUUCUGUAGUCCCCUCGCGGACGUUAUUUCUUACAGCUCUGAGCAAAAAUUCAAAAUGAAUCAAAACUUUCAACAACGGAUCUCUUGGUUCUGGCAUCGAUGAAGAACGCAGCGAAAUGCGAUAAGUAAUGUGAAUUGCAGAAUUCAGUGAAUCAUCGAAUCUUUGAACGCACAUUGCGCCCGCCAGUAUUCUGGCGGGCAUGCCUGUCCGAGCGUCAUUUCAACCCUCGAACCCCUCCGGGGGUCCGGCGUUGGGGAUCGGGAACCCCUAAGACGGGAUCCCGGCCCCGAAAUACAGUGGCGGUCUCGCCGCAGCCUCUCAUGCGCAGUAGUUUGCACAACUCGCACCGGGAGCGCGGCGCGUCCACGUCCGUAAAACACCCAACUUCUGAAAUGUUGACCUCGGAUCAGGUAGGAAUACCCGCUGAACUUAAGCAUAUC